Molecule: ribosomal RNA, 375 nt
Filed under: uncultured bacterium
Lineage: Bacteria
Description: partial 16S ribosomal RNA
Rfam family: Bacterial small subunit ribosomal RNA
Source: RNAcentral
CCUACGGGAGGCAGCAGUGAGGAAUAUUGGACAAUGGGCUUAAGCCUGAUCCAGCGAAGUCGCGUGAGGGAAGACUGCCCUAUGGGUUGUACACCUCUUUUGUCAGGGAGCAAUUGGCGCUACGUGUAGCGUUAUCGCGAGUCCCUGAAGAAACAGCAUGGGCAAACUCCGUGCCAGCAGCAGCGGUAAUACGGAGGUUGCGAGCGUUAUCCGAUUUUAUUGGGUUUAACGGGUGCGUAGGCGGAAUGCCAAGUCAGCGGUAAAAGCGCGGGGCUCAACCUCGCUCCGCCGUUGAAACUGGCGGGCUUGAGUGGACGAGAAGUAUGCGGAAUGCGUGGUGUAGCGGUGAAAUGCGUAGAUAUCACGAAGAACUCC